CUUGCAGGGUCCUUGUGAGGAUUAAAGAUCAUGCAUAAAUUCUCUGCCAACAUGAUUCUUUCCGGGCAGCUGAAAUCUCAUCUAGGACCAGUUAAGAGCCUUAAAAACUGUCAACACAGGAAAUAUAUGGCGCUGGAACCUUUGUUAUUGAUACGGCCCAUCACCUAGCACAUUGCCUUAAGAAUAUUCAUAUAAAUGGAAUGGACUACUCUCUGAAGCAAAACUACAUCAUCUUUUACAGAAAAUUUUUGCAAAAUUACAUCCUUCAGCUCCAAAAGCAGGAA
RNAcentral lists this long non-coding RNA (284 nucleotides) under Ursus americanus (American black bear). Its description in RNAcentral is "lncRNA (ENSUAMG00000001931.1)". Lineage: Eukaryota; Metazoa; Chordata; Mammalia; Carnivora; Ursidae. The record is from RNAcentral.